Molecule: ribosomal RNA, 503 nt
Filed under: uncultured bacterium
Lineage: Bacteria
Description: partial 16S ribosomal RNA
Rfam family: Bacterial small subunit ribosomal RNA
Source: RNAcentral
ACUCAAAUGAAUAGACGGGGGCCCGCACAAGCGGUGGAGCAUGUUGUUUAAUACGUCACUAACCGUAGAACCUUACCAGGGCUUGACAUCCGGCGCUAUUCCAUGAAAGUGGGAGUUCCCCGCAAGGGGACGUCGAGACAGGUGUUGCAUGGCUGUCGUCAGCUCGUGUCGUGAGAUGUUGGGUUAAGUCCCGCAACGAGCGCAACCCUCACCCCAUGUUGCCAGCGGAUCAAGCCGGGAACUCUUGGGGAACUGCCCGGGUAACCGGGAGGAAGGUGGGGAUGACGUCAAGUCAGCAUGGCCCUUACGCCCUGGGCUACAAACAUGCUACAAUGGACGGUAGACAAAGGGAUCCGAUGGCGUGAGCCGGAGGCAACCCCAAAAAUCCGUUCCCAGUUCAGAUCGCAGGCUGCAACUCGCCUGCGUGAAGUCGGAAUCGCUAGUAACCGCAGAUCAGCGAAGCUGCGGUGAAUACGUUCCCGGGCCUUGUACACACCGCCCGU